GACAGAGGGUGCGAACGUUGUUCGGAAUUACUGGGCGUAAAGCGCGUGUAGGCGGCAACGCAAGUCGGGCGUGAAAUCCCACGGCUCAACCGUGGAAGUGCACUCGAAACUGCGUAGCUAGAGUCCUGGAGAGGAAGGCGGAAUGCUUGGUGUAGAGGUGAAAUUCGUAGAUAUCAGGAAGAACACCGAUGGCGAAAGCAGCUCUCUGGGACGGUACUGACGCUGAGGCGCGAAAGCGUGGGGAGCGAACAGG
This 253-nucleotide ribosomal RNA is filed under the name uncultured bacterium. RNAcentral describes it as "partial 16S ribosomal RNA". It matches the Rfam family "Bacterial small subunit ribosomal RNA", at positions 524 to 776 of the family's 1533-position model. The record is from RNAcentral.